RNAcentral lists this ribosomal RNA (1460 nucleotides) under uncultured Bordetella sp. RNAcentral describes it as "partial 16S-23S ribosomal RNA intergenic spacer". It matches the Rfam family "Bacterial small subunit ribosomal RNA". The record is from RNAcentral. Lineage: Bacteria; Pseudomonadati; Pseudomonadota; Betaproteobacteria; Burkholderiales; Alcaligenaceae.
GGUUCGAUCAUGGCUCAGAUUGAACGCUGGCGGGAUGCUUUACACAUGCAAGUCGAACGGCAGCACGGAUCCCCCGGUCUGGUGGCGAGUGGCGAACGGGUGAGUAAUGUAUCGGAACGUGCCUAGUAGCGGGGGAUAACUACGCUGAAAAAGCGUAGCUUAAUACUGCAGCACACAGCCUCUUCGGGGGAAAGCGGGGGACCUUUCGGGCUCCUGCACUAUUAGAGCGGCCGAUAUCGGAUUAGCUAGUUAUGGGUAACGGCUCACCAAGGCGGCGAUCCGUAGCUGGUUUGAGAGGACGACCAGCCACACUGGGACUGAGAUGGCCCAGACUCCUACGGGAGGCAGCAGUGGGAAUUUUGGAUGACAAUGGGGGAAACCCUGAUCCAGCCAUCCUGCGUGUGCGAUGAAGGCCUUCGGGUUGUAAAGCACUUUUGGCAGGAAAAGAAACGGCACGGGAUAAUACCCCGUGCAACUGACGGUACCUGCAGAAUAAGCACCGGCUAACACGUGCCAGCAGCCGCGGUAAUACGUAGGGUGCAAGCGUUAAUCGGAAUUACUGGGCGUAAAAGCGUGCGCAGGCGGUUCGGAAAGAAAGAUGUGAAAUCCCAGAGCUUAACUUUGGAACUGCAUUUUUAACUACCGAGCUAGAGUGUGUCAGAGGGAGGUGGAAUUCGCGUGUAGCAGUGAAAUGCGUAGAUAUGCGGAGAACACCGAUGGCGAAGGCAGCCUCCUGGGAUAACACUGACGCUCAUGCACGAAAGCGUGGGGAGCAAACAGAUUAGAUACUCCUGGUAGUCCACGCCCUAAACGAUGUCAACUAGCUGUUGGGGCCUUCGGGCCUGGUAGCGCAGCUAACGCGGAAGUUGACCGCCUGGGGAGUACGGUCGCAAGAUUAAAACUCAAAGGAAUUGACGGGGACCCGCACAGGCGGUGGAUGAUGUGGAUUAAUUCGAUGCAACGCGAAAAACCUUACCUACCCUUGACAUGUCUGGAAUCCCGAAGAGAUUUGGGAGGUCGCAAGAUAGCUGUUCAGUGUUGCGUAGCGGCUGUCGUUGCCGUCGUGAGAUGUCAGUUAAUCCGCAACGAGCGCGUACCGUCAAUAUCAGCGAUGAAGUGGCACUUCAGCUGAGAUUGCCAUGACGUACCGGAGGAAGAAGGGAUACGUCAGCUCCAGUGGCUUAUGGCUGUCACACAGCUGUCGGAUAGGGUCGUUGUCCCCGCGAGGGGAGCUUAACAACCCAGAAACCGAUCGUCAGACUGUGGCUUCAAACUGACGUGAAACGAACAUAUAUCAGUGAUCGCAUGACCGGGGCGGUGGAACACGUCUGGUCUGGUCCACGCUGUCAGUCAUACCAUGGAGGGUUUACUGAAGUGGUUAGCCAACUGUAGAGGCGGAUUACCAUUAAGUAGGGACGCAUCAAAGUGGAAGUCAAAUAAAAGGUCGUUAUCACCUGGUU